Molecule: long non-coding RNA, 377 nt
Filed under: Suricata suricatta (meerkat)
Lineage: Eukaryota; Metazoa; Chordata; Mammalia; Carnivora; Herpestidae
Description: lncRNA (ENSSSUG00005017392.1)
Source: RNAcentral
UUUCAGUUUGCCCGGAUGGUGGUGAGCAGGGUCCACAGGCCCUCUGCCUUCACCCUUACGGAUGAGGAUCCCAACUGUGAGUGACAGCGGCACCACACAGAGGGUCCCGCCCCCACCCAGUCUGUCCAGAGCCAGAAGCAGCUCGAACUCAAGCAGGGACCCUGCAGCCACAGGGGCCCCUCUCUCCUGGGAGAGGACAGCACAGGACAGGAGAGGGCCCCUCGCAUGGCCCCACUGAGGACAGUCAUCAGGUCCUCAGCGCUCGUCUGAGUCAGGCUGCACCUCAUGUGGACGCACCGUUUCGGACUCUCCGGACUCUUUUGCUCAGCUUCCUGGGGAGCUCUGAGACUCGAACCCGUUUCCGUGUCUCCAUUCUG